RNAcentral lists this long non-coding RNA (732 nucleotides) under Homo sapiens (human). Its description in RNAcentral is "HSALNT0308256". Lineage: Eukaryota; Metazoa; Chordata; Mammalia; Primates; Hominidae. The record is from RNAcentral.
UCUGCCGCGGCCGGGAAGUUCGAACAGAAGUCUGGGGAAGAGCCGGCGAAGAGCAAAGAGAUAAUACAGUACUCCCAGCUAUAGCAAGCGGCAGUUAUGGAGCAUGCGCAGCAGCAGGGGCGGCCGCAGGUCGCCGUUCAAUAAUACUCAAGGGAUUUGUACAGCCCUGUAGGAGACACCUCCAGAGAAAGUAACAGCUCUCAAUUGAUUAGCUGAGGUAUGUACUGUGUGACUUAAAUAUUGAGUUUAUUUUUAUCAAAUACCUGUCAAGAAAGAAAGUCAAUUCUGAAACAGCAGAAGCUCAAAGUUCUACAGAUGGCUUUCAAAGGAAUUUGAAUUAGACAUCAUUUGAUGUUGCAAAAAACAAUGACAUCUUUUAUAGCUCUAAACAUCAGUUUUUAAAUUAGAGAUUGAUCUAUAAAGGAGCUAAGUUUGCAUAAUCAUUAUUCAUUUUAAGAUAAUAAUAUAUGAUAGGUACUAAAUUAUAUAGUAGUUUUGUGUAGAGAUUUAUACAUAUUUUCUGAUUGCCAUCAUCACAUCAUCUAAUUAUUUAGAAAUUUCAUUUUCAGAACCUUGGAUUUUGGACAUAGAGCUUUGAAAAAUAUUGUACUUUAUUUUGAGAUGAAAAUGUGGUCAUUCACAUUUUCACAGACCUGCGUGGAGCAAUCUGCAGGGUGGGGGUGAGAUUUGGGAGUAGAGGGGAGGUGGUAAUAGACACACACAAAACUUGUU